RNAcentral lists this long non-coding RNA (938 nucleotides) under Homo sapiens (human). Its description in RNAcentral is "non-protein coding lnc-WIF1-6:7". The record is from RNAcentral. Lineage: Eukaryota; Metazoa; Chordata; Mammalia; Primates; Hominidae.
GGCAGAUACUUGUAGUUGUCCUCAAAUUUCAUACUCUCAUUUUUCUUUAUUAAUAUAACCACACAUUUUUAACUGAGCUCAUUGAUCAUCAUAACAGAGUCUAUUGAAAGUCCUCAGCAGGCGGUGUGACGAUGUGACCAGCUCUGGCCAAGGAGCUGUAGGCAGAAGUGUCUUGCAGCAGCUCCUGUAAAUCUUAAAAGACAGCUGGUGCGUGUCUUUUUUCCUUUUUUUUUCCCUUCCCCCUUCCUGCUGCGCUGAAUAUGGAUAUGGUGAGUGAAUCUAGAGCAGCCAUUUGGAGGUAUGAAGAGAUCUUGGAAAUAGAGGCCAUGUGUGUUGAAACAAGACCGAACAACUCCAAGUUCCUGAAGACUUCAUUUCACCAACCCAGAACCUCCUUGAUCAUCACAGCCUUUGCAUGGAUGAUUGUCUGUCCUCUGUUGGGCCCCUUCUGAAGAGUUGGAGUUGGCUUUAUACAAUUAUUCCCAAAUCUUCUAAACUGACAGUGAGGGAGAGUAAUUUGAAAGGACUGCUCAACUCAACGUCAUUUGAAGAUUUGCACCACAGCUGCAUUUUUCCAAUUUCCUGGCAUCUAUUCUGCUCUCCUGGACUUUUCAAAAACAAUUUCUUUCAGAUCCCUGGAGGCCUCUCCCAGGGCCUGUGGUGUGGAGAGUUGGACUUGACCCUACUGUAAGAGACCCAACUUCCAAAGACUGCAUCAGAUGAAAGGCUCUCCAUAUAGACUACAGACUUGUCAGCUGGUUAAGGAGGCAAACAGAACAGUCUGCUACAAACUCCAGUCCAUGUAUCUGUGCUGAAAAUAAAAGGAGUCUUCAGGAAUCAAAGAAGAAAAUAUUUUUAUAAAGAAAUUUUAUUGCAUAAUUCUUGUAUACAAUAAACAUAGGAAAAGGGUUUUUAAUGAAAAUUCAUGUCAUUUUUCA